This is a long non-coding RNA of Ahaetulla prasina, 745 nucleotides long. RefSeq lists it as uncharacterized. The transcript has 2 exons. Lineage: Eukaryota; Metazoa; Chordata; Lepidosauria; Squamata; Colubridae. The record is from RefSeq and is a predicted model, not a curated record.
UUAGGUGAUUUCACUAAUGAGGUGCCUUUAUUCUUUCAUUAAAUGUGCAUGUUAAAGUCUUACAAGACUUAAAGAAAACAUUGAAUAAAUCUUAGCAGUUGUCUAUGUUCUGAAUAUACAAAGACAAUUUAUAAGCAAGUAGAGUCAGUGUGAUUUCUUUUAAGAUAGCUGGAGUUACUUUAGCUCUUUGGUUUUGCAAAUCUAAAUAAAGAGCCACUAAAGCAAUGGAUAUUACAACAAUUUAAUAAAAUUCUUAUUUAAAAAGUAACUCUUGCUUCAUGACCUCUAAAAUAUAUGCAUGUUUUCUUAUUUCAGAUAGUGCAGAUUCCUUUCUGCGGAGAAAUAGAAUGUGAGGAUUGGAUCAAAAAAACAACUGCCAGAGAUCAAGAUCUUGAACCUGGCGCUCCAUCCAUGGGAGCAAAAAGUCUCUGCAUCCCCUUUAAACCACUUUGUGAGCUGCAGAAUGGAGCAAGAUGUGUCUGUGACAAGAACCCUGCAAAGUUUUACACUCUCUUUGGACGCAGUUAUUAAAUUACCGUUGGAAAUGAUAGUUUCCUUAUAUUUCAACUCAACUUUUUAAAUUAAAGACUGAGAUGUUUCCUGAUACUAUCCAGGUUUUUUGUUGUUAUUUUUUAAAAUAGCAACUAACAAAGCCAUAGAGAGUCAUAUCCUUCAGUGCAACUUGCAGUAUUGCAUAAACCUUUCUGUAAACAGUAUCUCUAUAAUAAAUAAGUAUUGUCAUCUA